GAUAAACGCUGGCGGCGUGCAUGAGACAUGCAAGUCGAACGAACGAGCUUGCUCGUUAGUGGCGGACGGCUGAGUAACGCGUAGGUGACCUGCCCCGAAGUGGGGGAUAACUGCCCGAAA
RNAcentral lists this ribosomal RNA (120 nucleotides) under uncultured bacterium. RNAcentral's name for it is "partial 16S ribosomal RNA". It matches the Rfam family "Bacterial small subunit ribosomal RNA", at positions 28 to 156 of the family's 1533-position model. The record is from RNAcentral.